Molecule: long non-coding RNA, 1041 nt
Organism: Dreissena polymorpha
Lineage: Eukaryota; Metazoa; Mollusca; Bivalvia; Myida; Dreissenidae
Exons: 5
Source: RefSeq, a predicted model, not a curated record
GCCAUGACUUUAUUUUUGAAUAUUUCUGUGUUCAUGUGGUAGGGAAAACAUUGUUGUAUACUACAAAUUCCCUGUUUUGCUUUUAGGUUGGAGACUACAUAAGACUUUGACAGUUGGCGGGAAACCAUCAUCAACUGGAGAGAUGCCGGAAGAGGAAUGUCUGCGACUAAGUCAAGGGCCACUGGAUAAGGGUUGUUGAUGGCAAAACAGGUUGGAGACUACAUAAGACUUUGACAGUUGGCGGGAAACCAUCAUCAACUGGAGAGAUGCCGGAAGAGGAAUGUCUGCGACUAAGUCAAGGGCCACUGGAUAAGGGUUGUUGAUGGCAAAACAGGAAGAGGAAUGUCUGCGACUAAGUCAAGGGCCACUGGAUAAGGGUUGUUGAUGGCAAAACAGGUAAUAAUAUCAUUUUGUUAUCAUGUACACAAGCAAAUAAGCAUAUGUAUGAUGCUUUAGGUGUGAAAGACUGUCAUAAUCAGGAUUGUGGUCACUCACACCCUUGCCGUCAUGUAAUUCUCCUCGCAGUUUGUAUUGAUAGUUCCGCGUCCUGACAUGUAAAGCUCGUGCUUUGUUGGCAGCUGAAGUUGGCACUUAACAGGGUUAUCCUUGUUCCUGAGCAUGUAUGCAGUACAGCUGAGUUGAUUUGCUACUUGUUACCCUACAAUUAGCUUGUUUUUGGUAUUGUUUUCUCACAAUAUGCUUAUAUUCAUGGUUCCGGCUUAAAAUGGUGUCGCGCCUUACUUAAACAUAGGAUUGUUAUAGCAAGUGUCCCCUUCAUCAUUUACCUUAGAGGGAUUUUUUUGACAAAAUUUGGCACUUUCAGCAACUUGUUUUGUUUUUUAUUUGGUACAUGCUUCUCUCAUUCAGUGAUUUAAUGACAGUAUUGUCCUUAUUCUUUUUUCUUUGCAUAGAAAGGUGACAUGAAUCAUUGAUAUUUGUUGUGUUGAGAAUUCUGCAGGAAGCUGUGUCCCCAAAAGAAGUACUAGAAACCCCUUUCAGGACACUGCCUUGAUCUGAACUGCCUUUCUACCCCUGUUACUA